This 374-nucleotide ribosomal RNA is filed under the name uncultured organism. RNAcentral's name for it is "partial 16S ribosomal RNA". It matches the Rfam family "Bacterial small subunit ribosomal RNA", at positions 527 to 896 of the family's 1533-position model. The record is from RNAcentral.
GAAGGGGGCUAGCGUUGCUCGGAAUCACUGGGCGUAAAGGGUGCGUAGGCGGGUCUUUAAGUCAGGGGUGAAAUCCUGGAGCUCAACUCCAGAACUGCCUUUGAUACUGAAGAUCUUGAGUUCGGGAGAGGUGAGUGGAACUGCGAGUGUAGAGGUGAAAUUCGUAGAUAUUCGCAAGAACACCAGUGGCGAAGGCGGCUCACUGGCCCGAUACUGACGCUGAGGCACGAAAGCGUGGGGGGGAGCAAACAGGAUUAGAUACCCUGGUAGUCCACGCCGUAAACGAUGAAUGCCCAGCCGUUAGUGGGUUUACUCACUAGUGGCGCAGCUAACGCUUUAAGCAUUCCCGCCUGGGGAGUACGGUCGCAAGAUUA